CCUACGGGGGGCAGCAGUGGGGAAUAUUGGACAAUGGGGGGAACCCUGAUCCAGCCAUGCCGCGUGUGUGAAGAAGGCCCUCGGGUUGUAAAGCACUUUCAGUGAGGAAGAACGCCUGGUGGUUAAUACCCAUCAGGAAAGACAUCACUCACAGAAGAAGCACCGGCUAACUCCGUGCCAGCAGCCGCGGUAAUACGGAGGGUGCGAGCGUUAAUCGGAAUUACUGGGCGUAAAGCGCGCGUAGGUGGCUUGAUAAGCCGGUUGUGAAAGCCCCGGGCUCAACCUGGGAACGGCAUCCGGAACUGUCAAGCUAGAGUGCAGGAGAGGAAGGUAGAAUUCCCGGUGUAGCGGUGAAAUGCGUAGAGAUCGGGAGGAAUACCAGUGGCGAAGGCGGCCUUCUGGACUGACACUGACACUGAGGUGCGAAAGCGUGGGUAGCAAACAGGAAUAGAUACCCGGGUAGUC
RNAcentral lists this ribosomal RNA (465 nucleotides) under Vreelandella stevensii. Its description in RNAcentral is "partial 16S ribosomal RNA". It matches the Rfam family "Bacterial small subunit ribosomal RNA", at positions 338 to 795 of the family's 1533-position model. Lineage: Bacteria; Pseudomonadati; Pseudomonadota; Gammaproteobacteria; Oceanospirillales; Halomonadaceae. The record is from RNAcentral.